Molecule: small RNA, 610 nt
Filed under: uncultured fungus
Lineage: Eukaryota; Fungi
Description: eukaryotic LSU rRNA
Rfam family: 5.8S ribosomal RNA (bases 246-399)
Source: RNAcentral
CUUGGUCAUUUAGAGGAAGUAAAAGUCGUAACAAGGUCUCCGUAGGUGAACCUGCGGAGGGAUCAUUACAGAGUUCGUGCCCUCACGGGUAGAUCUCCCCACCCUUGUGUAUCUCCGUAUUCUUGUUGCUUUGGCAGGCCGCUGGGCUUCGGCCUGGCCACCGGCUCUGGGGCUGGUGCGCGCCUGCCAGAGGACCUCUCAAACUCGGUUUGUUACUGUCGUCUGAGUACUAUAACAAUCGUUAAAACUUUCAACAACGGAUCUCUUGGUUCUGGCAUCGAUGAAGAACGCAGCGAAAUGCGAUAAGUAAUGAGAAUUGCAGAAUUCAGUGGAUCAUCGAAUCUUUGAACGCACAUUGCGCCCCUUGGUAUUCCGAGGGGCAUGCCUGUUCGAGCGUCAUUUCAACCCUCAAGCUCUGCUUGGUCUUGGGCCUGGCCGCGAUGGCCGGCCUUAAAAUCAGUGGCGGUGCCGUCGCAGGCUCCAAGCGUAGUACAUCUCUCGCUCUGGAAACCCGGCGGUGCCUGCCAGGCAACCCCUAAUUGUCUCUUACGGUUGACCUCGGAUCAGGUAGGGAUACCCGCUGAACUUAAGCAUAUCAAUAAGCGGAGGA